This 253-nucleotide ribosomal RNA is filed under the name uncultured bacterium. RNAcentral's name for it is "partial 16S ribosomal RNA". It matches the Rfam family "Bacterial small subunit ribosomal RNA", at positions 524 to 776 of the family's 1533-position model. The record is from RNAcentral.
CACGUAGGAGGCGAGCGUUGUCCGGAAUCAUUGGGCGUAAAGGGCGCGUAGGCGGCCCGCUAAGUCGAACGUGAAAUCCCCAGGCUCAACCUGGGAACUGCGUCCGAUACUGGCAGGCUUGAAUCCGGGAGAGGGAUGUGGAAUUCCAGGUGUAGCGGUGAAAUGCGUAGAUAUCUGGAGGAACACCGGUGGCGAAGGCGGCAUCCUGGACCGGCAUUGACGCUGAGGCGCGAAAGCUAGGGGAGCAAACGGG